RNAcentral lists this ribosomal RNA (401 nucleotides) under uncultured Bradyrhizobium sp. RNAcentral's name for it is "bacterial SSU rRNA". It matches the Rfam family "Bacterial small subunit ribosomal RNA", at positions 356 to 774 of the family's 1533-position model. The record is from RNAcentral. Lineage: Bacteria; Pseudomonadati; Pseudomonadota; Alphaproteobacteria; Hyphomicrobiales; Nitrobacteraceae.
UGGGAAUAUUGGACAAUGGGGGCAACCCUGAUCCAGCCAUGCCGCGUGAGUGAUGAAGGCCCUAGGGUUGUAAAGCUCUUUUGCGCGGGAAGAUAAUGACGGUACCGCAAGAAUAAGCCCCGGCUAACUUCGUGCCAGCAGCCGCGGUAAUACGAAGGGGGCUAGCGUUGCUCGGAAUCACUGGGCGUAAAGGGUGCGUAGGCGGGUUUUUAAGUCAGGGGUGAAAUCCUGGAGCUCAACUCCAGAACUGCCUUUGAUACUGAAGAUCUUGAGUCCGGGAGAGGUGAGUGGAACUGCGAGUGUAGAGGUGAAAUUCGUAGAUAUUCGCAAGAACACCAGUGGCGAAGGCGGCUCACUGGCCCGGUACUGACGCUGAGGCACGAAAGCGUGAGGAGCAAACA